UACGGAGGGUGCAAGCGUUAAUCGGAAUUACUGGGCGUAAAGCGUGCGCAGGCGGUUUGUUAAGUCCGUUGUGAAAGCCCCGAGCUCAACCUGGGAAUUGCGAUGGAUACUGGCUCGCUAGAGUGCGGUAGAGGAGAGUGGAAUUCCCGGUGUAGCAGUGAAAUGCGUAGAGAUCGGGAGGAACAUCAGUUGCGAAGGCGGCUCUCUGGACCAGCACUGACACUGAGGCACGAAAGCGUGGGGAGCAAACAGG
Molecule: ribosomal RNA, 253 nt
Filed under: uncultured bacterium
Lineage: Bacteria
Description: partial 16S ribosomal RNA
Rfam family: Bacterial small subunit ribosomal RNA
Source: RNAcentral